Molecule: long non-coding RNA, 394 nt
Organism: Bombus terrestris (buff-tailed bumblebee)
Lineage: Eukaryota; Metazoa; Arthropoda; Insecta; Hymenoptera; Apidae
Exons: 2
Source: RefSeq, a predicted model, not a curated record
GUAAACGUAAACUAUACAGUCAGUCUGGCCCACUGCUAUUUUUGUCGAGUCUGGAGAAAAGGCGAUACCCUUGACCACGUAACUCUUUUUACCAAACUAGAAAAGAUGGGUAAUUUUUCAUAAAGGUUUCGUGGAAAAUUUGUCACGUUUCACGCAGUUCUCGUCAAAAAGGUAUAUGGAACGAUCAGAGGAAGCGACAGCCAGUUUUAGACUGUUUGGUGACCAGCUUAUACCCACCACUCUAUUCUCGUACUCCUGUUUUAUAAAAUAAUUUUUCAGAAACUUAUCUAAAAUAUUUUUCCCUACUUUAUAUUUAAUUAUUACCUUAGUACGAGUUAAUGUUUUUCAUCUAUCCUUUAUUUUAUUAUUUCUUCAAAUAGAUUUUAUUUUUUAA